AGGACACUGGCGUAAAUUCUCGACCGUUUAACGUUUAUUGAGCUGUGUGAAAAUCCCGGAGGAACCCACCGGAUUGAUUAAUAAAGCUUUAUUUAAUCUAAUAAUCUAAUAACUUUGAUCUCAGCCAAACCGAUUUACUCCAGAACAAAUAAAACACAGAAAAAGGCAAACAAUUACAUUUUUAAGUUAUCAGAGUGACUUGUAUAUCAUGUUUAACCUGAGUAGCGAAAGAGCGGGGGUCUGAACCCCCCUCCCGGCUUGCCAUCGAGCCGGUGGGUGACAGACGUCUCUGAAAACGUCGGCACACUUUUGCAAAUAUGCGAUGUCUUGAUAAACCAAGCAGAUAUUUACACCGCUACUUUCUCGCCUAAAAAUAUGUUAAAAGUUUAUUCGGGGAAAUGAAGGACUCAUUUGUCGGCCGCAUUUGAGACAGCCUCCGUCGACUGGCUGUGACAUAAUCGGCCUUCAAAUGCGGCCUCCGGAGGAUGCAGCCGACAUUUUGGGACACAGCUUCUGACUGAAAGCCGGGAGAAAAAGAGUCACGUGCCUGUACCGGUGUGUUUUUGUGCUGUGGGUUAAUUAACAGAAGGGAGAGAGAGAGUGAGGAUGAAACACAUAAUAUAAGAAUAAUAACAUCUCUUAACAAGAAGUUUUUUUUUAAUUAGGUAAUUUUAGUUUUUUAGUUAAAUUUUAAGAACUGUUUAACAAACACUUGUUUGUGCAGGUUGUUUUUUUUUUUUUAAAUGAAACCUACACCUGCAGCUCUGUUUAACUUCUCACUUUGUGAAAAACUAACGAAAUAUAAAAAAGUCCACCUUCAAAUAAAUAAAAUGCAGCAGUGCACCAUUAAUAUUAUAAAUAUGAUAUGUAGAUAUUUAAAACAACAGCAUAUUAAAUGAUACUGUGUGCAGGUGAUAAUAUUUUUAGGAAGCAGAAUUUGAAUGCAGACGAACUCAAAUGUUGAAGCCUACAAAAAUAUCAUCCAAGCUUUCAUUUAUGAUUGUUCAUGCUUUGAAAUUGUGAUGUCAGAAUUUGAUAAAGUGUGCAGAGCUAGGUGUAGCAAAUCAUUGCUUAUUAAAUCUACUGUGUUAUCUAAUAGCACCAAACUAAUAGAGCUAUCACAUAACUAAGAGACGUGUGUGGCUUAUUACAAAUGGAUGAAACCAUAUUUUACCUUAAUGAAGACAGUAAUCUUUAAUAAGGUGUAGAAAAAGGUGAGUUGUUUGUUGCUGUGGUAAACAAAGAAUGUACUGAAUCUUUUGUACUACACAGAGUGAUGCAGUAUUGACUGUGAUGCUGAUUUGAGUUGUCUCAUUCUGUAUUUUUGUGCUUUGUCUUUUGUUACACAGAGUGAAAGAGAUCUUUGGUUUUGCCUUUGCUGGUAAGUAAACAGUGAUUGUAACUGAGGCAGUAUGAACCUGGCAUUGCGUAGCACAUUUGACAACUUACAUACAGUAGUUUGACUUUUUGUGAUAUGUUUCCAUUUACUGAUGGGCAAAAACACAAAGUCAGGAUUUAUUACCUGUAGCAGCAAAGUCCUCACACGGGACCUCUGACUGUCCCUGAAAAUGUCCCUGAAGUUUAAUAGCCCAUUUAUGUAUGAUUUAAAUUUCUUAUGGCUUAUUGAAUCCAAACAUAGCUAAAUGUCAGUUGUUCAUUUUCUCCUUAUGUUUGUGGAUUUAAGUAGCAGACAAAACAAUGAAAGUGUUUUAGGGGAGUCAGUAUAAGUGGUUGCUCAAACACUUAAGAGCUGCACAGGUAUUGAUUCAUAUUGUCUCUCAAAUUCUGCUGAUGUGUUACAUUAAAGUCAGAACACUGUAGAAGUAUUUUGUACAGUUAAGCAAUAAUGAAAAACUAAGAAAACCAGAGGUGUGAGUGGACAUUGUUAGGUACAUUACAGCCAGUGUGUCUAAUUAGUUUAUCACUUAUUUGGUGAAUAUAAUGUGUUUUAAAAUUUAAUAGAAAAGUUGCCAAAAAGGUACACUGCAAAAUACAUAAAUAUUCCUAGCAACAGGUAUAAUGAAAGGACUUUUUAGUGUAAAAAUUUAAGACAUUUAAUUUUAAUUACAAAACAUGGUGCACCUCUGCUAUUGUAACAUGUCAAUAUUUAAAACUAUUUUAAGAUUUACAUAUUCAUAUCAGACAUGACGAGGUUUUCUGUUGCUUCUGAUUUAUAUAAUUAUUUUGUAUCUAACAUUUUUAAAAGUUUUGGCUUUCACACUUUAGUAGUACUGACCUGUUGUAGAAAAUGUUGGAGCCACAAAGCUUCUGUGUAGGAAAUAUUUGGUAUAUCCUGCACUUGUGCCAACAAAUAUUGGUGGCUAUUCUUUAUAUUUCUGUAGUAAUGAAUGCUUUUAUUACACUUGCUACAGCCAUGUGAGACGCUGCAGUUCAUUUAUCUCCUCUUUAGACUACAUUAAGCUCAUAAAGCCUUAAAUAAAUUAAGAAUUUUACUAGUUAAUUUAUGUCACAGUAAAUUGGAUUGUGUGUGAAGAGGCUCAACAGUCUGAAUCAUCAAACAGUGAUCUGAUUAAUUGUUUCCUUUCUCUAGACUGCUGAUCUGAUCGUCUCCAGUCUGACAUUAUGAUAUACUGUUGAACCAGGUGACCUGCUGCAGAAAACCCUCUCCCUCUAUCAUUAACAAGCCAUUAACAAGCAAAUUCAGUCUGUCCUAUCACUCUCCCUCUCCCUGCUCCAUCUUUUUUGACAAGCCAUUCUAUCUUCUAUCCAUUCUCCGCCAUGUACUCUAUCUAAUUUUGACAAGCAUAAGCCCUAGUUUGACAAGAAACCAAGUUUGACAACAAACCAAGGUUGACAACAAACCAAGUUUUUGGAAAUUGAAGUUACCGCAACUUCGACGAUCUGUUUUCAGAAAUCUGAGAGAUCUCUGCUCUCACUGCUCCUUCUUUCCUGUCGUUAAACUCUCUCAUAUCCACUCAUUUUACUGGAAAUUACAAGUAAGAAGUUGAAUAUACAGUAUAGUAGAAGUCACUGUAGAAACUACUUACACAGCCCUACAUUUGUCAUUUUAAUUUUGCAUUACACUUUGGAAUAAACAUUGAUUGGCUUACAGGUGCAAUUGCUUUGAUAAAUUAUAUAAAAUAUACACCUCUUAAAGGUUUAUUUGUAAUAAGACAAUCUGGUUAUUUUGUAAUAUAUACAUUCAGACUGCUCUAUUUACAUAAAUAUUAAAUUAGAUUCAAAUACAUUUUUCAAGUCUGUUUCAUUGACUAUAACAUUUGACUACAGUAAGUUUAUACUAAUAUUAUUUAAGGACAAACCCAUUUCUAUUACUCAGUGUAAGUAUUGAGUUACAAUUGUCAUUGAGAAGCUGCCCUGAGGACCCAGACUUCCUGUUUCCUGACUGCUGCAGAACAUCCAGCUGAAGAAUCCUCAUCGCCUGUCAUCUGAUCACCACACCACCACAGCUCCAUAUAUUUGCUUUAAAUUUUAGAUAUCUGAAAGAUUUACACAAAGUCUACUUCAAAGCUAAGACUUUUAUUAUAGCCUGUUGAUUGUUGAGAUUUAUUCUGCAUAUUACUUCACAGAAGUAUAGACCUAUUCAUUAACCAGUCUGGUUAAAAAAAAGAAGUAAUAAUAUACAGUUGUUGAAAAAGCUACAAUAAAACGUUUUUAAGGAUCUUUCAAUAACUUUUAUAUUGAGUUUGUAUUUAAGCCAGCCUUUUACAUCAAUUAAACGGUCAUAAGAACACUUUA
Long non-coding RNA from Astatotilapia calliptera (eastern happy), 3717 nucleotides. The record is from Ensembl. Lineage: Eukaryota; Metazoa; Chordata; Actinopteri; Cichliformes; Cichlidae.